AGACUUUGAUCCUGGCUCAGAGCGAACGCUGGCGGCAGGCCUAACACAUGCAAGUCGAACGGACCCUUCGGGGUUAGUGGCGGACGGGUGAGUAACACGUGGGAACGUGCCUUUAGGUUCGGAAUAGCUCCUGGAAACUGGGUGGUAAUAGCCGAAUGUGCCCUUCGGGGGAAAGAUUUAUCGCCUUUAGAGCGGCCCGCGUCUGAUUAGCUAGUUGGUGAGGUAAUGGCUCACCAAGGCGACGAUCAGUAGCUGGUCUGAGAGGAUGACCAGCCACAUUGGGACUGAGACACGGCCCAAACUCCUACGGGAGGCAGCAGUGGGGAAUCUUGCGCAAUGGGCGAAAGCCUGACGCAGCCAUGCCGCGUGAAUGAUGAAGGUCUUAGGAUUGUAAAAUUCUUUCACCGGGGACGAUAAUGACGGUACCCGGAGAAGAAGCCCCGGCUAACUUCGUGCCAGCAGCCGCGGUAAUACGAAGGGGGCUAGCGUUGCUCGGAAUUACUGGGCGUAAAGGGCGCGUAGGCGGACAUUUAAGUCAGGGGUGAAAUCC
This 550-nucleotide ribosomal RNA is filed under the name uncultured Alphaproteobacteria bacterium. RNAcentral's name for it is "bacterial SSU rRNA". It matches the Rfam family "Bacterial small subunit ribosomal RNA", at positions 8 to 602 of the family's 1533-position model. Lineage: Bacteria; Pseudomonadati; Pseudomonadota; Alphaproteobacteria. The record is from RNAcentral.